UGGGGAAUUUUGGACAAUGGGCGCAAGCCUGAUCCAGCCAUGCCGCGUGAGUGAAGAAGGCCUUCGGGUUGUAAAGCUCUUUCGGCGGGGACGAUAAUGACGGUACCCAAAGAAGAAGCUCCGGCUAACUUCGUGCCAGCAGCCGCGGUAAUACGAAGGGGGCUAGCGUUGUUCGGAUUUACUGGGCGUAAAGCGCGUGUAGGCGGACUUGUAAGUUGGGGUGAAAUCCCGAGGCUCAACCUCGGAACUGCCUCCAAAACUACAAAUCUGGACCUAAGUAGAGGCAAGUGGAAUUGCGAGUGUAGAGGUGAAAUUCGUAGAUAUUCGCAGGAACACCAGUGGCGAAGGCGACUUGCUGGACUUAUGGUGACGCUGAGACGCGAAAGCGUGGGGAGCAAACAGGAUUAGAUACCCAAGUAGUCCCUGAGCGGGCUGGCAAGGCGCAU
This 446-nucleotide ribosomal RNA is filed under the name uncultured bacterium. RNAcentral describes it as "bacterial SSU rRNA". It matches the Rfam family "Bacterial small subunit ribosomal RNA", at positions 355 to 825 of the family's 1533-position model. The record is from RNAcentral.